AUGAACGCUGGCGGCGUGCUUAACACAUGCAAGUCGAACGAAGAUGCCGGAGUGCUUGCACUUUGGCAGACUGAGUGGCGGACGGGUGAGUAACGCGUGGGUAACCUGCCUUAUACAGGGGGAUAACAGUUGGAAACGACUGCUAAUACCGCAUAAGCCCGCAGCUCGGCAUCGAGCAGAGGGAAAAGGAGCAAUCCGCUUUGAGAUGGCCUCGCGUCCGAUUAGCUAGUUGGUGAGGUAACGGCCCACCAAGGCGACGAUCAGUAGGGGUUCUGAGAGGAAGGUCCCCCACAUUGGAACUGAGACACGGUCCAAACUCCUACGGGAGGCAGCAGUGAGGAAUAUUGGUCAAUGGGCGAGAGCCUGAACCAGCCAAGUAGCGUGAAGGAUGAAGGUCCUACGGAUUGUAAACUUCUUUUAUACGGGAAUAAAGUAUCCUACGUGUAGGAUUUUGUAUGUACCGUAUGAAUAAGCAUCGGCUAACUCCGUG
This 490-nucleotide ribosomal RNA is filed under the name uncultured bacterium. Its description in RNAcentral is "bacterial SSU rRNA". It matches the Rfam family "Bacterial small subunit ribosomal RNA", at positions 29 to 507 of the family's 1533-position model. The record is from RNAcentral.